UCAAGUUAGGAAUAGCCCCUUUAGGGUCAGAGGCCAAACAGCAUCUGGAAGCAUUUGCAAGAGGGGAAGUUGAAUCUAUCAAGACUUCCUGUUGCCUAGAGUUUGGAGUCCUGUUAUGAGGGUCGAUGGUAUCUUUAGUAUUGUUAGUUGGCUUGCUUAUCUUCAGAUUCUAACUAAGCAAGAGGCUGGGGCACAGAGCUGAGAAUGACCUACUCACCCUCUGUGAUCAAUACAGAUUGCCCAGAAAGUAAGCAGGUAAGCAAAUCCAUGCAGUGUGGUCAUUCACUGCUGUAGUUGAGGAAUAUAGAAAAUGUAUUGGGAGAGAAAGGAAGAAGUGUUUAAAUGCUCAUAGCAAGAGAGAUUCAGAGAAGGCAUGAAAGCUGUUGAAGCUGGAUCUUAAAGACAAGAAGUACCUUAAAGUCAGUGAGUUACCUGAAAGGCAUUCUGAGCAGUGUCUCUUUCCUAUAUUGAUAUUUCCUAUCUUUCCUAUCUUUCCAAGUGCAUAUUCAGGAAUGGUGGAUUGCUCUUUGAGCUAAAGUGUUGGGGUGUUGGAGGGAAGUAAAAGUAGAUGAAGCUGGAUGUGUGUAGAGGCCCAGAUCCAGAGUCCUUUGUGUUUUAUGACAAAGCUUAAAUAAAUACUAUUGGAGCUGAACUGUCCUGUGGAUAUCUAAGGUAGAGAGUGACAUCAGAAGCUCAGCAUGGAAAAAUUAGAGGUUAGAGCUGGGCUUGGUGGCUCACACCCAUAAUUCCUGUACUUGGGAGAUGAAAGCAGGAAGAUCAGGAUUUCAAGGCCAGCUUUGGCUACAUAGUGAUUUCCAGGCAAGCCCUGGCUACAUUAGACCACCUCUC
This 849-nucleotide long non-coding RNA is filed under the name Mus musculus (house mouse). Its description in RNAcentral is "long non-coding RNA chr7:102314219-102315068". The record is from RNAcentral. Lineage: Eukaryota; Metazoa; Chordata; Mammalia; Rodentia; Muridae.